UCCAUAGAUGAAAUCUGCCAAGGUAUUAUCCUUAAUCAGUGGUGGAUACUAUCCACAAUCACCUGUUUAACUAAACUGAAAUAUAUGAACUCUGAUAUUUCAAAAGUAAUCAACAAAGAAGGAAUUUUACAUGGUGACAAAAUCUGCCUGCAUCCCAGUUUUAAUACACGUGAUGGAAAAUAUUCAGUCAAAGGAAUCAUAGGAAUGAUCUUCUUGGAGGUCCCAAUUAAGAUUAAAGAAAUUUUACUUCCUCAAUAUCACAACAUCCUUAGGAAAAGUUGUUUUCCAUGUGUUUACCAACGUUGUAGCGUAUACCAGUACCAGAAACACACUAAAUUUGAGAACAAUGUGAAACAAUUAUCAGUAAAAUUUCUGGACAUUUCAUUCUGUCACAAUCAACAUAAUCACAUGCCCAAAAGUAAUAACCUAUGUAUUUGGACUCAUCAAAAAGAAGAUUGCUGGAUACAGCAAGGUAGCCCUGUCCUUUGUACCUUUGGCAGUCAUUGGGAAUUGGUAGGACUCAUC
Molecule: long non-coding RNA, 525 nt
Organism: Microtus ochrogaster (prairie vole)
Lineage: Eukaryota; Metazoa; Chordata; Mammalia; Rodentia; Cricetidae
Exons: 4
Source: RefSeq, a predicted model, not a curated record